UGGGGAAUAUUGCACAAUGGGGGAAACCCUGAUGCAGCGACGCCGCGUGAGCGAAGAAGUAUUUCGGUAUGUAAAGCUCUAUCAGCAGGGAAGAAGAAAGACGGUACCUGACUAAGAAGCCCCGGCUAACUACGUGCCAGCAGCCGCGGUAAUACGUAGGGGGCAAGCGUUAUCCGGAUUUACUGGGUGUAAAGGGAGCGCAGACGGCAUGGCAAGUCUGAAGUGAAAGGCAUGGGCUCAACCCGUGGACUGCUUUGGAAACUGUCAGGCUAGAGUGUCGGAGAGGCAAGUGGAAUUCCUAGUGUAGCGGUGAAAUGCGUAGAUAUUAGGAGGAACACCAGUGGCGAAGGCGGCUUGCUGGACGAUGACUGACGUUGAGGCUCGAAAGCGUGGGGAGCAAACA
This 403-nucleotide ribosomal RNA is filed under the name uncultured bacterium. RNAcentral describes it as "bacterial SSU rRNA". It matches the Rfam family "Bacterial small subunit ribosomal RNA", at positions 355 to 774 of the family's 1533-position model. The record is from RNAcentral.